This 3011-nucleotide ribosomal RNA is filed under the name Salmonella enterica subsp. enterica serovar Typhimurium. RNAcentral's name for it is "bacterial LSU rRNA". It matches the Rfam family "Bacterial large subunit ribosomal RNA". The record is from RNAcentral. Lineage: Bacteria; Pseudomonadati; Pseudomonadota; Gammaproteobacteria; Enterobacterales; Enterobacteriaceae.
GGGUUGUGAGGUUAAGCGACUAAGCGUACACGGUGGAUGCCCUGGCAGUCAGAGGCGAUGAAGGGCGUGCUAAUCUGCGAUAAGCGCCGGUAAGGUGAUAUGAACCGUUAUAACCGGCGAUACCCGAAUGGGGAAACCCAGUGUGAUUCGUCACACUAUCAUUAACUGAAUCCAUAGGUUAAUGAGGCGAACCGGGGGAACUGAAACAUCUAAGUACCCCGAGGAAAAGAAAUCAACCGAGAUUCCCCCAGUAGCGGCGAGCGAACGGGGAGGAGCCCAGAGCCUGAAUCAGCAUGUGUGUUAGUGGAAGCGUCUGGAAAGGCGCGCGAUACAGGGUGACAGCCCCGUACACAAAAGCGCAUGUGCUGUGAGCUCGAUGAGUAGGGCGGGACACGUGGUAUCCUGUCUGAAUAUGGGGGGACCAUCCUCCAAGGCUAAAUACUCCUGACUGACCGAUAGUGAACCAGUACCGUGAGGGAAAGGCGAAAAGAACCCCGGCGAGGGGAGUGAAAAAGAACCUGAAACCGUGUACGUACAAGCAGUGGGAGCACCCUUCGGGGUGUGACUGCGUACCUUUUGUAUAAUGGGUCAGCGACUUAUAUUCUGUAGCAAGGUUAACCGUAUAGGGGAGCCGGAGGGAAACCGAGUCUUAAUUGGGCGUUAAGUUGCAGGGUAUAGACCCGAAACCCGGUGAUCUAGCCAUGGGCAGGUUGAAGGUUGGGUAACACUAACUGGAGGACCGAACCGACUAAUGUUGAAAAAUUAGCGGAUGACCUGUGGCUGGGGGUGAAAGGCCAAUCAAACCGGGAGAUAGCUGGUUCUCCCCGAAAGCUAUUUAGGUAGCGCCUCGUGAAUUCAUCUCCGGGGGUAGAGCACUGUUUCGGCUAGGGGGCCAUCCCGGCUUACCAACCCGAUGCAAACUGCGAAUACCGGAGAAUGUUAUCACGGGAGACACACGGCGGGUGCUAACGUCCGUCGUGAAGAGGGAAACAACCCAGACCGCCAGCUAAGGUCCCAAAGUCAUGGUUAAGUGGGAAACGAUGUGGGAAGGCCCAGACAGCCAGGAUGUUGGCUUAGAAGCAGCCAUCAUUUAAAGAAAGCGUAAUAGCUCACUGGUCGAGUCGGCCUGCGCGGAAGAUGUAACGGGGCUAAACCAUGCACCGAAGCUGCGGCAGCGAACGUAUCACCCAAGACAACUUUACGGAGUUGACGAUUGACGGAGCGAAGCGACGUCAAAGCGUUCAUUAAAGUCGAGUUGGCUUAGGGAUACGUUCGUUGGGUAGGGGAGCGUUCUGUAAGCCUGUGAAGGUGUGUCGUGAGGCAUGCUGGAGGUAUCAGAAGUGCGAAUGCUGACAUAAGUAACGAUAAAGCGGGUGAAAAGCCCGCUCGCCGGAAGACCAAGGGUUCCUGUCCAACGUUAAUCGGGGCAGGGUGAGUCGACCCCUAAGGCGAGGCCGAAAGGCGUAGUCGAUGGGAAACGGGUUAAUAUUCCCGUACUUGGUGUUACUGCGAAGGGGGGACGGAGAAGGCUAUGUUGGCCGGGCGACGGUUGUCCCGGUUUAAGGGUGUAGGUGUGUGUUCCAGGUAAAUCCGGUUCACUUUAACACUGAGGCGUGACGACGAGGCACUACGGUGCUGAAGCAACAAAUGCCCUGCUUCCAGGAAAAGCCUCUAAGCAUCAGGUAACACGAAAUCGUACCCCAAACCGACACAGGUGGUCAGGUAGAGAAUACCAAGGCGCUUGAGAGAACUCGGGUGAAGGAACUAGGCAAAAUGGUGCCGUAACUUCGGGAGAAGGCACGCUGACACGUAGGUGAAGUGAUUUACUCAUGGAGCUGAAGUCAGUCGAAGAUACCAGCUGGCUGCAACUGUUUAUUAAAAACACAGCACUGUGCAAACACGAAAGUGGACGUAUACGGUGUGACGCCUGCCCGGUGCCGGAAGGUUAAUUGAUGGGGUCAGCGUAAGCGAAGCUCCUGAUCGAAGCCCCGGUAAACGGCGGCCGUAACUAUAACGGUCCUAAGGUAGCGAAAUUCCUUGUCGGGUAAGUUCCGACCUGCACGAAUGGCGUAAUGAUGGCCAGGCUGUCUCCACCCGAGACUCAGUGAAAUUGAACUCGCUGUGAAGAUGCAGUGUACCCGCGGCAAGACGGAAAGACCCCGUGAACCUUUACUAUAGCUUGACACUGAACAUUGAGCCUUGAUGUGUAGGAUAGGUGGGAGGCUUUGAAGUGUGGACGCCAGUCUGCAUGGAGCCGACCUUGAAAUACCACCCUUUAAUGUUUGAUGUUCUAACGUGGACCCGUAAUCCGGGUUGCGGACAGUGUCUGGUGGGUAGUUUGACUGGGGCGGUCUCCUCCUAAAGAGUAACGGAGGAGCACGAAGGUUGGCUAAUCCUGGUCGGACAUCAGGAGGUUAGUGCAAUGGCAUAAGCCAGCUUGACUGCGAGCGUGACGGCGCGAGCAGGUGCGAAAGCAGGUCAUAGUGAUCCGGUGGUUCUGAAUGGAAGGGCCAUCGCUCAACGGAUAAAAGGUACUCCGGGGAUAACAGGCUGAUACCGCCCAAGAGUUCAUAUCGACGGCGGUGUUUGGCACCUCGAUGUCGGCUCAUCACAUCCUGGGGCUGAAGUAGGUCCCAAGGGUAUGGCUGUUCGCCAUUUAAAGUGGUACGCGAGCUGGGUUUAGAACGUCGUGAGACAGUUCGGUCCCUAUCUGCCGUGGGCGCUGGAGAACUGAGGGGGGCUGCUCCUAGUACGAGAGGACCGGAGUGGACGCAUCACUGGUGUUCGGGUUGUCAUGCCAAUGGCACUGCCCGGUAGCUAAAUGCGGAAGAGAUAAGUGCUGAAAGCAUCUAAGCACGAAACUUGCCCCGAGAUGAGUUCUCCCUGAGACUUAGAGUCUCCUGAAGGAACGUUGAAGACGACGACGUUGAUAGGCCGGGUGUGUAAGCGCAGCGAUGCGUUGAGCUAACCGGUACUAAUGAACCGUGAGGCUUAACCUUACAACGCCGAAG